AAGGGUAUAGCUCACUGGUAGAGCACGUGCUUGGUGUGCAUGAGGUCCGGGGUUCAAUCCCUAGUGCCCUCU
RNAcentral lists this transfer RNA (72 nucleotides) under Camelus ferus (Wild Bactrian camel). It matches the Rfam family "tRNA". Rfam says of the family: Transfer RNA (tRNA) molecules are approximately 80 nucleotides in length. Their secondary structure includes four short double-helical elements and three loops (D, anti-codon, and T loops). Further hydrogen bonds mediate the characteristic L-shaped molecular structure. tRNAs have two regions of fundamental functional importance: the anti-codon, which is responsible for specific mRNA codon recognition, and the 3' end, to which the tRNAs corresponding amino acid is attached (by aminoacyl-tRNA synthetases). tRNAs cope with the degeneracy of the genetic code in two manners: having more than one tRNA (with a specific anti-codon) for a particular amino acid; and 'wobble' base-pairing, i.e. permitting non-standard base-pairing at the 3rd anti-codon position. The record is from Rfam by way of RNAcentral. Lineage: Eukaryota; Metazoa; Chordata; Mammalia; Artiodactyla; Camelidae.